AGGUGCGGGGGUCUUUGGGCCCAACCUCCCAUCCGUGUCUAUUAUACCCUGUUGCUUCGGCGGGCCCGCCGCUUGUCGGCCGCCGGGGGGGCGCCUUUGCCCCCCGGGCCCGUGCCCGCCGGAGACCCCAACACGAACACUGUCUGAAAGCGUGCAGUCUGAGUUGAUUGAAUGCAAUCAGUUAAAACUUUCAACAAUGGAUCUCUUGGUUCCGGCAUCGAUGAAGAACGCAGCGAAAUGCGAUAACUAAUGUGAAUUGCAGAAUUCAGUGAAUCAUCGAGUCUUUGAACGCACAUUGCGCCCCCUGGUAUUCCGGGGGGCAUGCCUGUCCGAGCGUCAUUGCUGCCCUCAAGCCCGGCUUGUGUGUUGGGUCGCCGUCCCCCUCUCCGGGGGGACGGGCCCGAAAGGCAGCGGCGGCACCGCGUCCGAUCCUCGAGCGUAUGGGGCUUUGUCACAUGCUCUGUAGGAUUGGCCGGCGCCUGCCGACGUUUUCCAACCAUUUUUUCCAGGUUGACCUCGGAUCAGGUAGGGAUACCCGCUGAACUUAAGCAUAUCAAAAGCCGGAAGAAA
RNAcentral lists this ribosomal RNA (570 nucleotides) under Aspergillus tubingensis. RNAcentral describes it as "partial 18S ribosomal RNA". The stretch from base 186 to 339 matches the Rfam family "5.8S ribosomal RNA". Lineage: Eukaryota; Fungi; Ascomycota; Eurotiomycetes; Eurotiales; Aspergillaceae. The record is from RNAcentral.